This is a small nucleolar RNA of Lepisosteus oculatus (spotted gar), 137 nucleotides long. Lineage: Eukaryota; Metazoa; Chordata; Actinopteri; Semionotiformes; Lepisosteidae. The record is from Ensembl.
GCCCUGUGGUUCCUGGGAGCUGCAACCUAGUGCAGUACUUCAGGUUAUGGAAAAGGGCAAAAAUUAAUUCUGUAGUUUCAUGCAUGGGGUCUGUGCUUGUGCUAAGCAGUCUCCAUAGCCCGGUUACAGAUACAAAU